RNAcentral lists this unclassified non-coding RNA (387 nucleotides) under Bartonella sp. RNAcentral describes it as "partial 16S-23S ribosomal RNA intergenic spacer". The stretch from base 120 to 193 matches the Rfam family "tRNA". Lineage: Bacteria; Pseudomonadati; Pseudomonadota; Alphaproteobacteria; Hyphomicrobiales; Bartonellaceae. The record is from RNAcentral.
UCUUCAGAUGAUGAUCCCAAGCCUUCUGGCGAUCUAUGGAAAUGGGCUACUUUUUUAGCUUUUAGAUUUGUUUCCAUUAUUCAGAUUAUGCCGGGGAAGGUUUUCCGGUUUAUCCCGGAGGGCUUGUAGCUCAGUUGGUUAGAGCGCGCGCUUGAUAAGCGUGAGGUCGGAGGUUCAAGUCCUCCCAGGCCCACCAAUUCAAUUAGGGAGUGAUAAAGCGCUUAUUGUACGAUGCAGAUAACAUGUACGAUUUAUCAAAUAUGCCGAGAUGAUUUUGUCUCAGAUUGAGAUUUAUCACUUUAUAAAUUUAUGCUUUUUGUUUUUGUUCUUUUUAGGGGCCGUAGCUCAGCUGGGAGAGCACCUGCUUUGCAAGCAGGGGCCGUCGGU